This 833-nucleotide long non-coding RNA is filed under the name Mytilus galloprovincialis (Mediterranean mussel). The record is from RNAcentral. Lineage: Eukaryota; Metazoa; Mollusca; Bivalvia; Mytilida; Mytilidae.
UUCAAAACAUAUUUUGAGAUUCUUUCUUUUCUGUUUUUCAUGAAUUUUAACUAAUUUUCUCAAAAAAAUUUGAAAUUUUGUAUGGCUACUGUCAAUUUUUGUUUUCUCUCAAGAUUUUAUUAUUUAAACUACUGUUUUGAUGUCACAAUAUUGUCCAAAAAAGAGUUCUUGUUGAAAUUAUGAAUUAUGGAAAAUAAAAACAAACCUAUGAGCAUUCAUAAGUUUGAUGAUAAAAAUUUCAUAAAAGUUGGUUGAGAGACAAGUCAAAAGUAUUUCUUUUAGAAAAUUUACAAAUUUGUAUAGAAUGAUAAAGGGAAAUAAUGACAAGGGAAUGAAUUUGUUUAAACACUUUAUGUAUGCUUGUACAAGACAAUAUUUAAGAGUCUGACACAAUGGAUUGGUCUGAUUUUUUGUUUUAUCCUAAUAAUCCAUAAUUUGGCAAUUUUUUUGACUUAACAACUAAAUUAUGAUUUCCCAAUAGCAAAGUUACCAAGUUUUUGUUUUUUAAAUGUUAGACCGCCCAAGACAGACAUAGAGAUGAAAACAGUUGUUUUAAGAAAAUCAUUAAAUAGUUGCAAUCAUUCCAUAGGCUAUUAUAAAAACUUUUUGCAAUAUAUUCUACCAUUAAAAUUUACUUCAUAUUAAAAAUACUAAUGUUGCAUAUAGUGUAUAUAUAAACACUAUAAUCAAAUGUAUUUUGUAAUCUUGCUUCUUUAAUUAUCAUGUAUUGCCUGAAAAUAUAUUAACACUACUUAUGUAUUUUUUUUGUUUCUAAUGACUUGUUACAUAUAUUUAAAUUGUUGAAUAGUGAAUAAAAUUAGUUUUUUACAGAA